AGAGGGUGAGGUCUUUUGCAAUUUCCCGUCUUGCUGCGCACUCUUGGCAGUCCUGGGAUUCGCAGGAAUUCGCCUCCCGUUGGUCCCCAGAGGAAGCGGAUGGGACCCUGCGGGAGGCGGACGAGACCUUGCGGAGGUGCGGCCCCCGGAGUUGGCGGACGGGCGGGGACCGUUCUAUGAUGGACUAUCGAAAACCAUAUCGACUUUGGAGCUGGUGUGGAAACCAUCCUAACACUGCCAAUUCUGUGGCAGCCUCGGACCCAGAGAGGAGAGCAGUGGGGCCGCCGUGUCUGGAGGACUCGCAGGGAUGCUGACAGCGCUGCAGGCUUCUUCGUUGGGUCAGCUAAGCCUGGUCUAGUUCCGGUUUGGGAACCCUGGAAAAAACGAUUCAGAGGAGUGUCUCUUAGAGCAGAUGAGAUGCCAAAUGAAAAUACUGAGUAUGAAGAAUUUCUACAAAGUGAAGGGAAAUUUGGACACAGACCCCCAGGAGGAACGCCAUGUGACUACUGAGGCAGAGAUUGGAGUUAUUCUGCCUCAAACCAAGGAAUGCCAAGGAUUGCUGGCAACCAGCAGAAGCUAGGAGAAUGGUACAGAACAGAAUGCCCCUCUGAACCCGUAAGAAGAAACUCAUCCUACCAACACCUUGAUUUCAGAUUUCUGGGCUCCAGAACCGUGAGAGAAUAGAUUUCUGUUGUUGUAAGCCACUAAGUUUGUGGUAAUUUGUUACAGCAGCUGUAGCAAACUGAUACAUAGGUAUGUGAUACAUAUUCUCAAGGUUAGUUUUUAAAAUUAGCCUGAAAAUAGCUAAAAUGAAAAAGAAGAAAAAUAUCAGCAAUUUAUUAAGCUAAGAACUGAAAUACCCUUCCUUGCUUAGCAUUGAUGAGAUUAUGUUGGAAAAAUAAGUAUUGAUUCUGCUCCAUUUGACACUCCUCCCUAAUGUUCUCUCUUCCUUUCGAUUUCAGUAGCACAACUUUCUUUCCUUUUCCUCCAUUUUCCUGACUUUCUUCCCUGUCACCUUCUUGGGCUUCUUGUUCUCCACUUGUCCCUCAGAUGUUGGUGUGUCCAUUCAGUGAAAUACAGAAUCAGGGCUCCAUCCUUGACAUUCUUCUCUGAAUCCACACAGUCUCUCAAACGAUCACAUCCCUGCUCUUGAUUUCAAUGAUCUCUUGUGCACGGAUGACCCUCAAAUCUUCCUUCCCAUUGCAAUUAUUUCAUCUGAACUGCAGACCGACUUAUUUGUACAUCAAAGUCGAUAUGUCGAAGUUCAAACUCUUCACUUUUCCCCAUGUGAUUUUCUUACAUUAAGUGAAUGACCCAUUCUUUAAUUUAGAUACCAAAUCAAAAAACCUACGAAUGAUUCUUGAUCCACCCUCCCUCAUCUUCCAUCUUGUACCAGAAAGUCUCAUAUAUGUAACUAUUAUAGAGGAGGCAUGAGUAGAAUGUACCCCUACCCUCUCCAACUUCUCAGAAGUUCUAUAACUGUCAGGAACAUUAUAUGGUUAUAGAUGUAGAUAUAGGUAUAGGAAUAGGUAUAGAUAUAGAUAUAUGAAGUCAGCUGUGUAAAUUGUGAAAUAUGAUUAUUUUUGUUCAACUAAUCAACUAUUUUUGUUCAACUGUAAAUACCUAUAAUUACAUGUUUGGCACUAUUUGGUAACCAAACUGAUAGAGUCUGAAGAAAUUGGGAGUUUUCUGAAGAAAGUGGCUUCAUCAAGUAAGUAGUGGGUGAUGAUUUACAAUCACCCUCAUGGAUAAGAAUUCUCCGUUUUUUUUUGGCAUAUUAUCACAUUUGACAUUUUAAAGAUUCACUUUUAGGUCUUAAAGCAUGCUGCUGUGAUUAUGAUUGAUGAUACUGGUAUUAUUGCUAAGAAAACUUAAUGGAAAUUAAAAUGUUAUUUUGUAAAUGUAUUCCGGUAUUGUGAAAAACUGGGCCUUCUGAAAAAUUUUUUAUCUAAAAUAUAUCAUAAAGCUUGAUUAGUUGAGACAUCUAUCACUUCCAAAUAUAUAUAUUAAAAAAGGGGGAGCCACCAAUGACAAAGCAAGAUGUUGAGUGUUAGAGGGCCACAUGGAACAUUCACAUUUUAUAAUUUCAAGAGAUUCCCUAUAAUUACUUAGUUAUGAAUUGCUUUCCUUUCAAUAUCUGUUAAGUGAAUUUAAGUGAAGGAUCACAUCAUCCUUAAUAGUUCUAAAGGAGUUUCUUACUUGAACGAGAUCUUACUUGAAGAUUGACUGAUUGAUUUUGCACAUUUCGGCUUCUCCUGGAUAUUGUAACUGUAUUCACAUCUUGUUCCAGAAAUCAUUAGAAACCAGACAAUGGGGAGAACUUUUUGAAUCUUUUACUGUUUUCCCUGCAUGGGCUGUAGGAAGAAUGUUGAAUAUGUGUUUGUUUAGUUAGCUGCUUUUAUUUUCUUGGCCUGUGGUUAUGGGAAUUCAUAAAUAUGAGUGUACGAGUUAAUGCUAAAGAAUAGAACAUUAUACAGUGAGGGGGAAGUACUUUGGGGAAGAAUUAGAUGGGAACUUUAGAGACUUCGGAAAACUAUUUGCUAAGCUUUAUCUAAAAUAGAUCUAUAGUCGUAUUUAUACUUAGACAACAUCUCUUAACAGACAGCAUGUAGUUGGGACUUUUUGAAAAGUCCAUUCUGACAGGCUCCGCAUUUUAACUUGCUAGGGAGUGUUUAGCACACUUUCAUUUAAGGCAAUUAUUGAUUUGAUUCAGUUUAAUCUACCAUUUUACCAUAUUUUACCAUAUUUUAUCUGUUUUGUUCCCUCUUCUAGUUCUCCUUUUUGCCUUCUUUUACAUUAUAUGAAUAUUUUUCAGAAUUUAAUUUUAAUUUGCCUUUUGUUUUUUUGUUAUUCCUCUUCGCAGGAUUUUUUGGUGUUUGCUCUUUGGAUUGCAAUAUAUAUCCUUAAUUUUUACUGUUUCCUUGAUAAUAUUGUACCAUUUCACCUAAUAGUUCCAUUUAACUACACCUCCUGUCCUUCACAUCAUAGUUGUAAAAUGUGUUACAUCUAUGACAAGAUAAAACCAGCAAUGUGAUAUGUAUUUUUUAAAAAUAAAAAUGUUCUUCAAUCCUUCCCAAAGAUCUAAGUUUUCAUCUGAUCUCAUUUCCCUAAGCCUGAAGAAUUUCUCUUAGCACUGUCUUUUUUUUUUUUUUGUGAGGAAGAUCAGCCCUGAGCUAACAUCCACGCCAAUCCUCCUCUUUUUUGCUGAAGAAGACCGGCCCUGAGCUAACAUCUAUUGCCAAUCCUCCUCCUUUUUCUCCCCAAAGCCCCUGGUAGAUAGUUGUAUGUCGUAGUUGCACAUCCUUCUAGUUGCUG
Long non-coding RNA from Diceros bicornis minor, 3315 nucleotides. RefSeq lists it as uncharacterized. The transcript has 4 exons. The record is from RefSeq and is a predicted model, not a curated record. NCBI's taxonomy places the organism in Eukaryota, Metazoa, Chordata, Mammalia, Perissodactyla, Rhinocerotidae.